This 253-nucleotide ribosomal RNA is filed under the name uncultured bacterium. Its description in RNAcentral is "partial 16S ribosomal RNA". It matches the Rfam family "Bacterial small subunit ribosomal RNA", at positions 524 to 776 of the family's 1533-position model. The record is from RNAcentral.
UACGUAGGUGGCAAGCGUUAUCCGGAAUUAUUGGGCGUAAAGCGCGCGUAGGCGGUUUCUUAAGUCUGAUGUGAAAGCCCACGGCUUAACCGUGGAAGGUCAUUGGAAACUGGGAGACUUGAGUGCAGAAGAGAAGAGCGGAAUUCCACGUGUAGCGGUGAAAUGCGUAGAGAUGUGGAGGAACACCAGUGGCGAAGGCGGCUCUUUGGUCUGUAACUGACGCUGAGGCGCGAAAGCGUGGGGAUCAAACAGG